This is a long non-coding RNA of Oxyura jamaicensis (ruddy duck), 477 nucleotides long. RefSeq lists it as uncharacterized. The record is from RefSeq and is a predicted model, not a curated record. Lineage: Eukaryota; Metazoa; Chordata; Aves; Anseriformes; Anatidae. The transcript has 2 exons.
UGGGAUUCCCGUGCCCCCCCCAGCCCAAAUAUUGGCUUUGUUCUGCCCUCGCUGCCGCCCCUUGGUCCCGGGGGGGUGCCCGUGGAGAGGCCGGGGAGGGGGGAGCGGAGGUGGGAGCCGUGCUAGUGAGAUCCGUGCCCAGCAUCACGGUGGCUGCUGGUUGACUCCGCAACGACAGUGAGCGGGCAUCGAAUGAAACAAAAGCAAGGAACUGGACUCCUUCCACUGCAAGAAAUAUGAAGCUUGAGUAAAUAUGAGCAAAUGGAUUAAUCCCCAGGAAAAAAAGGAGGAUGUGCUCCAUGAAAAAUCACAGCAAACAGGAAACAGGCAGGGGGGCAACCGAGGGUGGCACAGGCACUUUAACUCUGCUAUUGCCCGGUUUCUGAGCGCUCAGCUUUGCAAUCUCACCAUUAAUCUCGGCCUUUUGGAGAUGCCAUUUCCCAGAUCAAAACAAAUAAACCUGCAGAUGAAGGGUUU